AUUGAACGCUAGCGGCAUGCUUUACACAUGCAAGUCGAACGGCAGCGCGGGGUAACCUGGCGGCGAGUGGCGAACGGGUGAGUAAUACAUCGGAACGUGCCCUGUGAUGGGGGAUAACUACGCGAAAGCGUAGCUAAUACCGCAUACGACCUAAGGGUGAAAGUGGGGGAUCGAAAGACCUCACGUCAUAGGAGCGGCCGAUGGCGGAUUAGCUAGUUGGUGAGGUAAAGGCUUACCAAGGCAACGAUCCGUAGCUGGUCUGAGAGGACGACCAGCCACACUGGGACUGAGACACGGCCCAGACUCCUACGGGAGGCAGCAGUGGGGAAUCUUGGACAAUGGGGGCAACCCUGAUCCAGCAAUGCCGCGUGUGGGAUGAAGGCCUUCGGGUUGUAAACCACUUUUGGCGGGGGCGAAAUAUCGAGUGCUAAUACCAUUCGGUGAUGACGGUACCCGCAGAAUAAGCACCGGCUAACUACGUG
Molecule: ribosomal RNA, 482 nt
Filed under: uncultured bacterium
Lineage: Bacteria
Also listed under: 1 other name
Description: bacterial SSU rRNA
Rfam family: Bacterial small subunit ribosomal RNA
Source: RNAcentral